This 785-nucleotide ribosomal RNA is filed under the name uncultured Gram-positive bacterium. RNAcentral describes it as "bacterial SSU rRNA". It matches the Rfam family "Bacterial small subunit ribosomal RNA", at positions 10 to 795 of the family's 1533-position model. The record is from RNAcentral.
AGUUUGAUCCUGGCUCAGGACGAACUGCUGGCUGGCGUGCUUAACACAUGCAAGUCUGAACUGAGGCAGCUGGCCUUCGGGCCUGUUGUCUGAGUGGCUGAACGGGUGAGUAACACUGUGAGGAACCUGCCCCUGGAGACCGGGACAACCAGAGGAAACUCUGGCUAAUACCUGGAUGCCCCCGGAUGGUCGCAUGGCCAACCGAGGAAACGCUCCGGUGCUCCGGGAGGGCCUCGCGGCCUAUCAGCUUGUUGGCGGGGUAACGGCCCACCAAGGCAUCGACGGGUAGCUGGUCUGAGAGGACGAUCAGCCACACUGGGACUGAGACACGGCCCAGACUCCUACGGGAGGCAGCAGUGGGGAAUAUUGCGCAAUGGGCGAAAGCCUGACGCAGCAACGCCGCGUGGGGGAUGACGGCCUUCGGGUUGUAAACCCCUUUCAGCAGGGACGAAAAUGACGGUACCUGCAGAAGAAGCCCCGGCCAACUACGUGCCAGCAGCCGCGGUAACACGUAGGGGGCAAGCGUUGUCCGGAUUUAUUGGGCGUAAAGAGCUCGUAGGCAGUUGCGUAAGUCGGAUGUGAAAACUCAGGGCUCAACCCGGAGACGCCAUUCGAUACUGCGCUGACUAGAGUCCGGUAGGGGAGCAUGGAAUUCCUGGUGUAGCGGUGAAAUGCGCAGAUAUCAGGAGGAACACCAGUAGCGAAGGCAGGUGCUCUGGGCCAGAGUACUGACGCUGAGGAGCGAAAGCAGUGGGUAGCGAACAGGAUUAGAUACCCUGGUAGUC